AGAGUUUGAUCAUGGCUCAGGACGAACGCUGGCGGCGUGCCUUAUGCAUGCAAGUCGGACGAGCCCCCGGGACUUCGGUCCUGGACGGCUAGUGGCAGACGGCUGAGUAACACGUAAGUAACCAACCUUCCAGUGGGGAAUAAUCCGCCGAAAGGCGGCCUAAUACCGCAUACGAUCGCUCCCUGAUGGGGAGUGAUGAAAGACUUGUCGCUGGAAGACGGGCUUGCGGCCUAUCAGGUAGUUGGCGGGGUAACGGCCCACCAAGCCGAAGACGGGUACCUGGUCUGAGAGGACGAUCAGGCAGAAGGGGACUGAGACACGGCCCCUACUCCUACGGGAGGCAGCAGCAGGGAAUCUUGCACAAUGGGCGAAAGCCUGAUGCAGCGACGCCGCGUGGGGGAUGAAGGCCCUCGGGUCGUAAACUCCUUUUCUGGGGAACGAUAAUGACGGUACCCCA
Molecule: ribosomal RNA, 457 nt
Filed under: uncultured bacterium
Lineage: Bacteria
Description: bacterial SSU rRNA
Rfam family: Bacterial small subunit ribosomal RNA
Source: RNAcentral